This 803-nucleotide ribosomal RNA is filed under the name Pristimantis w-nigrum (Zurucuchu robber frog). Its description in RNAcentral is "partial large subunit ribosomal RNA". The record is from RNAcentral. Lineage: Eukaryota; Metazoa; Chordata; Amphibia; Anura; Strabomantidae.
CUCGAGAAANNAAUUUUAGUUCANCCUAAAGUAAACAAAAACAUGUAAAUUAUACCUUACUUUAAAGUAAUUCAAAUAAGGUACAGCCUAUUUGACACAGGAUUCAACCUUUACCAACGGGUAAUAAUUAACUAACACCCCCCUAAGUGGGCCUAAAGGCAGCCAUCUUAUUAAAAGCGUUAAAGCUUAGUCGUGUUAAUUUUAAUAAAUACCACAUUAUUGACCCCUUCACCACUACCGAGAACUUCUAUAAAAUAUAGAACCUUUUAUGCUAAAACUAGUAACAAGAGGAAACACCUCUCUAUUAUGCAAGUAUAAACCAGAAAGAAUUACUCACUGGUACUUAACAAAUAAAAUAGUAACUCUCCCCUAGAAAACUCUAUUUCUCAUAAUGUUAACCUAACACUAGAGCAUCUCAAGAAAGAUUAAAAGAAAAAGAAGGAACUCGGCAAAUAUUUACCCCGCCUGUUUACCAAAAACAUCACCUCUUGACUUUAUAAGAGGCCCAGCCUGCCCAGUGACUCUUGUUUAACGGCCGCGGUACCCUAACCGUGCGAAGGUAGCGUAAUCACUUGUCCUAUAAAUGAGGACUAGUAUGAAAGGCUUCACGAGGGUUAAACUGUCUCCUUUCUCUAAUCAGUAAACCUAUCUCCCCGAGAAGCGGGGAACUUUAUGNNCAGUUUCUAUNNAUAAUAGAGCUUUUUUCAGUACGAAAGGAUCAAAACAGCGUGACCUAUGUACACACAAGUCACAGUUAAUCAUUUUAGACCAACUCNUAAAAAAUAAUUAACCUUUCCCCCCCC